Molecule: ribosomal RNA, 497 nt
Filed under: uncultured bacterium
Lineage: Bacteria
Description: partial 16S ribosomal RNA
Rfam family: Bacterial small subunit ribosomal RNA
Source: RNAcentral
GAUGAACGCUGGCGGCGUGCCUAAUACAUGCAAGUCGAGCGAACAGAUGAGGAGCUUGCUCCUCUGACGUUAGCGGCGGACGGGUGAGUAACACGUGGAUAACCUACCUAUAAGACUGGGAUAACUUCGGGAAACCGGAGCUAAUACCGGAUAAUAUAUUGAACCGCAUGGUUCAAUAGUGAAAGACGGUUUUGCUGUCACUUAUAGAUGGAUCCGCGCCGCAUUAGCUAGUUGGUAAGGUAACGGCUUACCAAGGCAACGAUGCGUAGCCGACCUGAGAGGGUGAUCGGCCACACUGGAACUGAGACACGGUCCAGACUCCUACGGGAGGCAGCAGUAUGGAAUCUUCCGCAGUGGGCGAAAGCCUGACGGAGCAACGCCGCGUGAGUGAUGAAGGUCUUCGGAUCGUAAAACUCUGUUAUUAGGGAAGAACAAAUGUGUAAGUAACUAUGCACGUCUUGACGGUACCUAAUCAGAAAGCCACGGCUAACUACGUG